AGAGUUUGAUCCUGGCUCAGAUUGAACGCUGGCGGCAUGCCUUACACAUGCAAGUCGAACGGCAGCAUGAUCUAGCUUGCUAGAUUGAUGGCGAGUGGCGAACGGGUGAGUAAUACAUCGGAACGUGCCCUGUAGUGGGGGAUAACUAGUCGAAAGAUUAGCUAAUACCGCAUACGACCUGAGGGUGAAAGUGGGGGACCGCAAGGCCUCAUGCUAUAGGAGCGGCCGAUGUCUGAUUAGCUAGUUGGUGGGGUAAAGGCCCACCAAGGCGACGAUCAGUAGCUGGUCUGAGAGGACGAUCAGCCACACUGGGACUGAGACACGGCCCAGACUCCUACGGGAGGCAGCAGUGGGGAAUUUUGGACAAUGGGCGAAAGCCUGAUCCAGCAAUGCCGCGUGUGUGAAGAAGGCCUUCGGGUUGUAAAGCACUUUUGUCCGGAAAGAAAUGGCUCUGGUUAAUACCUGGGGUCGAUGACGGUACCGGAAGAAUAAGGACCGGCUAACUACGUGCCAGCAGCCGCGGUAAUAC
RNAcentral lists this ribosomal RNA (529 nucleotides) under uncultured Ralstonia sp. RNAcentral's name for it is "bacterial SSU rRNA". It matches the Rfam family "Bacterial small subunit ribosomal RNA", at positions 8 to 526 of the family's 1533-position model. Lineage: Bacteria; Pseudomonadati; Pseudomonadota; Betaproteobacteria; Burkholderiales; Burkholderiaceae. The record is from RNAcentral.